Dendrobium catenatum is the source of this 162-nucleotide small nuclear RNA. RefSeq annotates it as U1 spliceosomal RNA. The transcript has a single exon. NCBI's taxonomy places the organism in Eukaryota, Viridiplantae, Streptophyta, Magnoliopsida, Asparagales, Orchidaceae. The record is from RefSeq and is a predicted model, not a curated record.
AUACUUACUUGGACAGGGCCUUUACAGGUGAUCAAGAAUGCCUGUGGUCUAGACUAGAGACCUUCAGUGCAUUUUGAGGGGGCGCUGGUUUACCAAAUGACCAACUGGUAGAAUGGACGUCAUAAUUUGUAGUAGUGGGGUUCGCGUCCGUGCAGCCACUAU